RNAcentral lists this long non-coding RNA (6713 nucleotides) under Sus scrofa (pig). RNAcentral describes it as "lncRNA (ENSSSCG00015045355.1)". The record is from RNAcentral. Lineage: Eukaryota; Metazoa; Chordata; Mammalia; Artiodactyla; Suidae.
GGGGCAUGAUGUUUCUCCCUAUCGUUACAUCGCCUGCUCCAGCCCUUCCCCUGGCGUCCCCCUCCCCUGCUCUUUCUCUCUCACUUCCUUUCUCCAGCCCCCUGUUGCUCUCUGCCCACCUCUCCUCUCUGCCUGCCUGCUUUCCUGCUUCCCCAGCUCUCACUCCCCAUUUGCAGCCUCUCAGCCUCGCCUUCUGUCCUCCUCUCACUGUCGUCUCCUUGUCUCCUCAGCGGGGUACAGUAAGAGCGGCGCGGGGUUGUUUUUUCCUCCUUCGUUGCCUGUUAGAAGUCCCUCUGCUACACCCAAACCAUAAAUAACACUCAAGCAUCUGCCAAACACAUUCCUCACUUGUGUUAAUAGGCUGCAGUGAUGCCGGAGCCUGUUGCCAUGGCAACCUCAUUUUUGUUUGACUGUAUCCCACUCUGCUACAUAAAGCUUCUGCACGCACUCACACACAAACAAGUACACUCACACAACUAUUACAUAUGCUUGGCUAUUAGAGAUUAUUUUGGAGAAAACAUCUUUGGGCCCCAUGGGGACGGGCAGUCAUUUGGCCAAGGAGAUGAGUAUCUCUGCUUGUCCACUGUUACUCUAGGAGGUGAUAAUGGAUGGAAGACCUCUUUGAAACGUAGAGAGUUUGGUUCAAAUGUGGGGUUUUAUUAUUCUGCAGCCACAUGAAACCCACCUGAAAUGGUUUCGGAAAAGAAGAUCCUGACGCCACGUGGGUCCCUGUGAGCUUGGGAUAGCUGUCAGAGGUUGCCCUUGCCGUGUGGGCUGACCAUUACCAACCCAGCCUGCCUUCAGCUCCUUCUGCUCUGCCCCCUAACCCUUUGGGAGAAACUCAGUGGUAUCCUGCAUUUCUUCCUUUGUGCCUGUUUGAACCCCCAACUGUUACCACUUGUUCCAAAGAUCAGAAAGGCACAGGCUCUGUGUGGGUGAUGUUCUGUGGCUGUGAGCACGUGUGAAUGUCUGUAGUCAGGAGUCUGGGGAUGGAUGGGGGAUGGGGAAGCAGAUCAGGAACUGACUGCUGUGGCUGCUGAGGGGUGGAUGCCUGCGUCCAUGCCUGGGUGUGUGUCCUGUAGGCUGGUCCCAGUAUGUGCUUGUAUGUGUGUGUGUGUAUGUGUGUCUGUCUGUCUGUCUGUCAUGUGGGCUAGCCUGGGUGAUGGAGGUGGGCCCAGGGAAGCCUUUGUGUUGACUUGGAAAGGAGAGCAUCACAGCUCUGUCCUGUUUAUUCCUGGUUGGUGGCUGGCUUCCCAUGGCUGUUUGUCUUUCUGAUUCUGGGCCUUGAUUGACCUUCUUACCUUGACCUCUGGCUCCUCGGGGUAGUACUCUGGAUGCACACGCCUCCUCCCCCCUUUCCAUAAUGAGGCUGGGGCUAGACUUGCGUGGUCAGUUCCCCUGACCCCAGGGAGUCCUGCCCUUCCCUUUCAAAAACCCGAGCUGCCCACCUACUCGGCCAUCCGCUAAAUCCCAUCAGAGCUGCCGCCUCACUCUGGAACCUGUCCCAGAGGCCUAUAUGGUGGGUCACUGUGGCUGCCCCCUAGAGGAUGGUGGAAGGGGAUACACACUUUCACCACAAUCCUGGGGCUCAUCUGCCACCUGUUACUUACCCCAUCGUAUACAUUUCUGGACAGGAGAAAUCUUGCUGUAGUGAACCUCAGCAGCAACAGCAGGCUGGCCUGGGAGGCUGGCUCCGAGUUUGUAGCCGGGGAGGGUCUGCUCAUCUUGGCUCAUCACUAAUUGUAUCUGCCAAUUAUAUUUGCUAAUUGUCUUCAAUUAUGUUGCCUCUUUCUCUGUGCAGCAAGAAGGGGCUGCUGGGAGGGGAGCAGAGCCUCAGGGCCGGGGGUCCAGCAGGGCUGCUGGAUAGGGAAUAGGGGGCUGUUUUUGGAUCCCAUGGGUGUCCCAAUGCCUGUGGAGAAGACUUGAGUGGCAAAGACCCACCCGAGGAGCAGAACCAUCAGCUGCUGUAUCUGCGGGAAUGUUGACCAUUAAUAUUCAAAAUUUAAGUUUUGAUCUAGAGCAAGAGUGUGAGAUGUGUGUGCUGUGGAACACAGGACAGUGUGCUUGUGUUUGUCUGUAAAGAGGACACAUGCAAUGUAUUAAACCCCAUCGUGGAAAUCUGCCCAGCCUUACAGAAGGGCUUUAAAAAUCAGCGUAAAAGGUCUGGACAGACACUCUUCUGGGUAGACAGGUCCUGGCCUUGAGUUACUCUGUCAGGGAGCAGCUGGCAGCUAGAGCAGGGCUGUGGCCUGCUGGGGCAAGCCUGUUCUCCCGAGAGGUGCAGAUGGAGUGCCCACUUUGGUCCCAGCCAGGGAUGGGUGGGUGCUUGGGAAGGGGGACCCAACGGGGAAUCCUCCCUGUGAUAGCACCAGCCUAUCAGGUAACUUCCAGUUGCUGGGUAACUUCCAGUUCGCAGCUGCCUGCUUGGCACCUCCAUUAACUUUAUGUAUCUUGUGGCGGGUCCAGUUCCUGGUCCGGUACUUCUCAGGAGCAUCGCUUGUGUUAGGAAUGAAACAGCCUGCUCCGGGAGCUCCAGACCUGAUCAUGCCCCUGAAUCCUUUGGGUACAGUUACAUAAGUUACACUUUAGCAUAUCCUUCGCUCAUCCAUGCUCAUCAGGUGGCGGGAGUUUGCUAGCAGCGGCCAGAUCGGUGUUCAUUUUUCUCUGCCAAACACAAACUCCAUAAAGGUAUUUGGAAAGCCUGACUCCUUACCCCUUUCUCCAGGCAGUGUCCAAAUGCAAGAAGGGGACCAUCUCUCUUUACAACACUGUGAACAAAAUUUCUCCUUUCUAGUCAAUGGACCUUGAUCAUGGGAACCUGUGUUCUGAUUUGGCUGUUAGGAAAACAUCCAGUGGGGUCUUGGUUAGGCUUAUGGGCAUCUCCACUUUAUAGGCAGAUUGAGACCCCACCUGGAGUACUGUUUGAUUCUAGAAUUGAGACGAGGGCACCAGUUUGCUAAGGGCAUUGGGAACCUUGACUUCUGAGAGAAUACUUGAAAGAAUGGGCGGUGCUUAGCUGGGAGGAGAGCAAGGUAAGAAACCAGAGACAUGGACAAGGCAUUAUUUACUGCUGUGAUCCCUGCUGGCAGAUGUUAGAAGAGGGACUAAAUUUAUUUUUAGUUGCUCCAAAGGGCAGAUUGGGGGCAAAUGGGUGGAAACAGUAGACAGAUUUCAUCUCCAGGUAGGAGAUACCUUUCUAGCCUUUGGGGUUGUAGCCAACAAACCAGAUGCCUCUUGGAGUCACCAGCUGUGUCAGUGGAGGUGUUCAAGGGGAGACUGGAUGGCUGUCCACCAGCAUGUUACUGAGGAGAUGGAAGGCCCUGCUUCCAAAAGAACUGGGCUGGGUCCCAAGAAGGGAUAUGUCUUUUUUUUUUUUUGUCUUUCGAGGGCUGCACCCUCGUCAUAUGAAAGUUCCCAGGCUAGGGGUAGAAUCAGAGCUGCAGGUGCUGCCCUACGCCAGAGCCACAGCAGUGUGGGAUCUGAGCCAUGUCUGAGACCUACACCCACAGCUCAAGGCAACACCGGAACCUUAAUCCACUGAGCAAGGUCAGGGAUUGAACCUGCAUCCUCAUGGAUCCUAAUCCGAUUCAUUACCACUGAGCCACAAUUGGAACUCCAGGGAUCUGUCUUUUGAACAGCUUGGAUCUAGUUUUCAAAGCUCUCCAGCUGAGCUUGAUGACCAACUGUUAGGUUUGGGGUCCUUGAGCAAGAUAACUGCUCAGGUCACACCCACCCCUCAGAUUCUGUGGUUUCGUGUCUUGCCACAGCACGACUGCCUGUUGCAGUCUGUUGGGGGUCCCAUCUCCAUGUUUCACAGUCGCAGAGUCACUGCAGAGCUGCAGCCCAAUUUGGAGUGUCCUGAUGUAGGAUGCAGAGCUGGAAGGUGAUUGGAGAUGGUGGAAUAGGACGGGAAGGAGCUCCCAGACCUGGACCCGAACCCUCCUCUCAUCCUGCUGUUCCCAUCCCUGCACUCUGGUUUGAGGCACAGCAAUGCAUGGCUCACCCUUGGUGGAGGCAGUGGUCGGAGGGGCGGUCAGCAGGAAAAUGAACCGCAGUUUACGUCCUGGUUUAUUCAUUUGUUUGUAUGAAGUGAAUAUGACAAACACCGAGGAUACCCCAAGUCCAGAAUGGAUGGUACAGAAAGCGGAAAAUGAGAUCAGGAGACAGGCAAGAGGUGGGGAGUUAGGAGAUGGUUUGAAGGAGGAGGCGGCGGCUUGUGAGGAAAGGCAGAGGAGAUGAGCUGUGGGGAGGAGAAAAGCUUGAAGGUGGGGGCAGGGAUGCUCUCUGGGAACAAUGGGAUAUAGUCACAAGAAAAGGGGGGUAAACAAACAAACACUGGGAGACAGUAGUGGCUUUAUUCGUUUGGCCAGCCUCCUAUGUCAGCCCGCACUCCACCCCCACCCGGCCCCCUGCACACACACACUUCUUGCUCCGGGAGGGUUAUGAGUCUUCCUGACCUCACACUUGGGUGGCGCCCUCUCCAUCCCUCUUAGGGGCUCCCUGGGUGUUAUCACACAGCUCGAUGGCAUCCCCCCUUGGCUCUUGGAAGGGGUCCUGAGGGACCUCAGUGCCUGGCAUGUAGUAGGUGCUCAGCGAGGGUGUGAAUGAAUGAAUGAACGGGCGGUGGGGUGGGUGGACGGCUGCACGCAGACUCUCGGCUCUGCCGAAGUGCUAGACCAACACCUCCACAGAAGGAAGCGAUGCAGCUUGGCUUGGAAGCCUAUUUUGGUGGAUUGUUAUCCUAAACUCUGAGCAGGGCUUCCAGAAUCCCUCCUGCUGCAAUUUAAAACGUGUGCCUUCUUGGAAACAGAGAUCUGUUGCCUGGCACUGCCGGUACUAUAUGCCUUCACAGAUUUGAAAGCCAUUAUUAAGUCAUUCUUUCAGCCUUCUCCCCAUUCAUUCAGACAACAACCAUUUAUUAGGUGCCUACUGUGUACCAGGCACAGCACCCAGCCCUGCCUUUGGCCCAGAUGCUCCUACUGACUGUCCUUUGGAGGGAGCUUAAUAGGUAUUUCACAUAUACAUACAUUCAAUUUUGUCAGGUAAGUUUAGGAAAUACUGGAUUAAGCAGAAUUCUUUAUUGUAGAACCUUAAAACUUUGACUAGGUUAAUGUGCAGUAGAAUUUGCCAAGAGGGGCUAUUUCAUGAAGUCUUUAGCGCACAUAUUGGACCCCAGCCCCUGUUUUUGAAGGAACAUGACAGAGAUGGUCAGUGUUUGUUGGAACUUCCCUUAGGCCACACUGCUUCAGGGACUGAGAGAAUCUUUGCAAUUUCUCAGGGUCCAGCCCCCUGCCUCUGGGGUAGGCUAGCCAGAGUCAUCCAGAUGGGAGCAUUUCUUUGUUUGGGGGCCUUCCUCCCUCAGGAAGGAGAUGGCCCGGUCUGCGUUGGCUGGCUGCCGGUUUUACAGUCGCAUGCCCCAUCUGCAUCCAAAAUCUUUAUAAAAUAAAGUGGUGGGGCUGGAAGGGACCAGGGAGAUGCCUCCUUUAUCUAGUUUCAGUUUCCUUUAGAGGUCUCCUGCUGUCAUCAGACAUUGGAGCUGGUUGGGCUUCUCUAUAAGGACCUCUGAUGGGCCUGGGGUCCAUGUGCUGCGUGGCCGUCCACAGGGAAGGAGUGAGGGGCCAUUUCAGAGCAUUCUCUCCCACACCCCCAGAUUUUAUGUUUGUUUGUUUCCUCCCCAGCCCUUCUCUCCAAAAGGAGGAAGCCCUUAAAGAGUAUUGAUCAUAAGCAGUGAGUAUAUAUUGUUUGUAUUGCAAGUCUGGCACUGGGCUACUCCCUUACCUACCUGACCUCAUAUAAUCUUAAUAUCUACCCUACGAGAAAGGCAUUUUUAUCUCCAUUUCAAGGCUGCAGAAAAUGGGAUAAGAGAAGGGAUGUAACUUCCCCAAGGUCACUCAGCGAGUAAGCAUGGCAGAUGGUUCAGCGCCCGCCCAGAUUCCCUGGGCAUGUACCUCUCUGCUCUUGCCAGCCAGACUGCCAGCUGUCAGCACCUGAGGGCUUUCUCUGGCCCUGAGCCUCUCUGCCUGCUUGUCGGCCAGGUCAGAAGUGCUGGGGACAGAGUUCCCAUCCCCAGCGCGGCUCUCAACCAAGGACUUUUGGACGCUGGUGGACAAAGAGCCCAGCUCCCUUUACGGGGGGCAGGUGCAUAACCGUGAGACAAGCCUUCCCUGUGGCUCCCGGUCCUGCAGGAUUCAGUGCUGGUUGCCCACAGUGGUAACAGGCUUGAACACAUUCCUUUCCUUCCUUCUUCCCUCCCUUCCUUCCUUUCUUUUUCUUUUCUUUCUUUCUUUCUUUCUUUUUUUACUUUCUUUCCUUCUUUAUCUCAUUUCUCCACUCCCCAUCUAAUGUUUUCUGGGAUGACCUCUCAGGUAAACCAUUUCUUUCAAAUCUUGUCCGAGGAUCUUUUUCUAGGGGAAAUCCAAAUUGAGGGUCAAGAAGCUGGGAUUCUGGGAGUUCCCAUCAUGGCUCCGUGGUAAUGAAGCCAACUAGUAUCCACGAGGACUUGGGUUUGAUCCCUGGCCCUGCUCAGUGGGUUAAGGAUCCAGCAUUGCCCUGAGCUGUGGUGUAGGUCACAGACAUGGCUCGGAUUCUUUGUUGCUGUGGCUGUGGUGUAGGCAGGCAGCUGCAGCUCCAGUUCAACCCCUAGCCUGGGAACUUCCAUGUGCCCCAGGUGAGGCCCUAAAAGAUAAACAUAUGAACACACACAGAAAGGAAGG